CGAAGGGGGCGAGCGUUGUUCGGAUUUACUGGGCGUAAAGGGCGCGCAGGCGGCUCAUUUUGUCAGGCGUGAAAGCCCCGGGCUUAACCUGGGAACUGCGUUUGAUACGGAUGGGCUAGAGUUCGGGAGAGGAGAGUGGAAUUCCCAGUGUAGAGGUGAAAUUCGUAGAUAUUGGGAAGAACACCGGUGGCGAAGGCGGCUCUCUGGACCGAUACUGACGCUGAGGCGCGAAAGCGUGGGGAGCAAACAGGAUUAGAUACCCUGGUAGUCCACGCUGUAAACGAUGUGUGCUAGACGUUGGGGAGCCUAGCUCUUCGGUGUCGCAGCUAACGCGGUAAGCACACCGCCUGGGGAGUACGGCCGCAAGGUUA
This 371-nucleotide ribosomal RNA is filed under the name uncultured organism. RNAcentral describes it as "bacterial SSU rRNA". It matches the Rfam family "Bacterial small subunit ribosomal RNA", at positions 526 to 896 of the family's 1533-position model. The record is from RNAcentral.